Molecule: ribosomal RNA, 557 nt
Filed under: uncultured bacterium
Lineage: Bacteria
Description: bacterial SSU rRNA
Rfam family: Bacterial small subunit ribosomal RNA
Source: RNAcentral
GCUUAGAGUUUGAUCCUGGCUCAGGACGAACGCUGGCGGCAGGCCUAACACAUGCAAGUCGAGCGGACCCUUCGGGGUUAGCGGCAGACGGGUGAGUAACGCGUGGGAACCUACCCAGGGGUACGGAAUAACUCGGGGAAACUCGGGCUAAUACCGUAUACGUCCUAUGGGAGAAAGAUUUAUCGCCCUUGGAUGGGCCCGCGUUGGAUUAGCUUGUUGGUGAGGUAACGGCUCACCAAGGCGACGAUCCAUAGCUGUUCUGAGAGGAAGAUCAGCCACACUGGGACUGAGACACGGCCCAGACUCCUACGGGAGGCAGCAGUGGGGAAUCUUGGACAAUGGGCGCAAGCCUGAUCCAGCCAUGCCGCGUGAGUGAUGAAGGCCUUAGGGUUGUAAAGCUCUUUCACCGGUGACGAUAAUGACGGUAACCGGAGAAGAAGCCCCGGCUAACUUCGUGCCAGCAGCCGCGGUAAUACGAAGGGGGCUAGCGUUGUUCGGAAUUACUGGGCGUAAAGCGCGCGUAGGCGGAUGGGUUAGUCAGGGGUGAAAGCCCGGAG